Molecule: ribosomal RNA, 207 nt
Filed under: uncultured bacterium
Lineage: Bacteria
Description: partial 16S ribosomal RNA
Rfam family: Bacterial small subunit ribosomal RNA
Source: RNAcentral
CGUGUAGGCUGAUUUGUAAGUCGGGUGUGAAAUCCCUGGGCUCAACCUAGGAACUGCAUCCGAAACUGCGAGUCUAGAGUGUUGGAGAGGGAAGCGGAAUUCCUGGUGUAGAGGUGAAAUUCGUAGAUAUCAGGAGGAACACCGGUGGCGAAGGCGGCUUCCUGGACAAUUACUGACGCUGAGACGCGAAAGCGUGGGGAGCAAACA